RNAcentral lists this ribosomal RNA (253 nucleotides) under uncultured bacterium. RNAcentral's name for it is "partial 16S ribosomal RNA". It matches the Rfam family "Bacterial small subunit ribosomal RNA", at positions 524 to 776 of the family's 1533-position model. The record is from RNAcentral.
UACAGAGGGGGCAAGCGUUGUUCGGAAUUACUGGGCGUAAAGGGCGCGUAGGCGGCCUGCUAAGUCGAACGUGAAAUCCCCGGGCUCAACCCGGGAACUGCGUCCGAUACUGGUGGGCUUGAAUCCGGGAGAGGGAUGCGGAAUUCCAGGUGUAGCGGUGAAAUGCGUAGAUAUCGGAAGGAACAUCAGUGGCGAAAGCGGCUGCCUGGCCAAAUACUGACGCUCAUGUGCGAAAGCGUGGGGAGCAAACAGG